GCCUAUAGCUCAGCUGGUUAGAGCGCACGCCUGAUAAGCGUGAGGUCGAUGGUUCGAGUCCAUUUAGGCCCA
This 72-nucleotide transfer RNA is filed under the name Enterococcus faecalis. RNAcentral describes it as "tRNA-Ile". It matches the Rfam family "tRNA". Rfam says of the family: Transfer RNA (tRNA) molecules are approximately 80 nucleotides in length. Their secondary structure includes four short double-helical elements and three loops (D, anti-codon, and T loops). RNAcentral also lists the same sequence under 9 other names. Lineage: Bacteria; Bacillati; Bacillota; Bacilli; Lactobacillales; Enterococcaceae. The record is from RNAcentral.